This 467-nucleotide ribosomal RNA is filed under the name uncultured bacterium. Its description in RNAcentral is "partial 16S ribosomal RNA". It matches the Rfam family "Bacterial small subunit ribosomal RNA", at positions 28 to 508 of the family's 1533-position model. The record is from RNAcentral.
GAUGAACGCUGGCGGCGUGCUUAACACAUGCAAGUCGAACGGAAAGGCCCAAGCUUGCUUGGGUACUCGAGUGGCGAACGGGUGAGUAACACGUGGGUGAUCUGCCCUGCACUUCGGGAUAAGCCUGGGAAACUGGGUCUAAUACCGGAUAGGACAACAUUUUGGAUGGUGUGGUGGAAAGUUUUUUGGUGUGGGAGGAGCUCGCGGCCGUUCAGCUUGUUGGUGGGGUAAUGGCGUACCAAGGCGUCGAGGGGGAGCCGGCCUGAGGGGGUGGAGGGACGCAGUGGGACUGUGCUACAGGCCGGAGUGCGGAGGGAGGCAGCAGGGGGGAAUAUUGCACAAUGGGAGCAAGCCUGAUGCAAGGAGGCCGCGUGGGGGUUGAGGGCCUUCGGGUUGUAAACACCUUUAGCUGGGGACGAAGCGUUAUGUGGAGGUACCUUGAGAAGAAACACCGGCUAACUACGGGC